UCUCAUGCCCUAGACCUCUAACAUAACAAGAUCUCGUACCAAGCAUCUGAUCACAGAUCUCAUUAUCUAUGGGUGCAGUCAAGCCCUCAGGGAUAGGUUAGGAUCUGAUGCCUAUCAUACGAUCCUAAAAAAUAAAAUUAUAGCUAUUUUAAUUUUAUAUUGAAAAUCAAACUACAAAUGAAAAAAUAAUUGAAAAUACUUACAAAAAGCUCCUAGCUCCC
RNAcentral lists this long non-coding RNA (221 nucleotides) under Elaeis guineensis (African oil palm). Its description in RNAcentral is "long non-coding RNA (EGUI_LNC075967)". Lineage: Eukaryota; Viridiplantae; Streptophyta; Magnoliopsida; Arecales; Arecaceae. The record is from RNAcentral.